UACGAAGGGGGCUAGCGUUGCUCGGAAUUACUGGGCGUAAAGGGCGCGUAGGCGGACAGUUUAGUCAGAGGUGAAAGCCCAGGGCUCAACCUUGGAAUUGCCUUUGAUACUGGCUGUCUUGAGUUCGGGAGAGGUGAGUGGAAUGCCGAGUGUAGAGGUGAAAUUCGUAGAUAUUGGGAAGAACACCGGUGGCGAAGGCGGCUCUCUGGACCGAGACUGACGCUGAGGCGCGAAAGCGUGGGGAGCAAACAGG
Molecule: ribosomal RNA, 253 nt
Filed under: uncultured bacterium
Lineage: Bacteria
Description: partial 16S ribosomal RNA
Rfam family: Bacterial small subunit ribosomal RNA
Source: RNAcentral